AGCCUAUUAGGGAUACAAACCAGACCAUUUUCAAAUUGAACCUUAUUGAAUGAAAGAAGAGAGGGAGGGAGAAAUAAAAGCCAGCUACCAAUUUCGUCCAUUUAACUGACUCUUAAAUCAGACUUGAUUGAAAGGGAACAAAGAGAAUUAGAAAAAGCAGCUCUUUUGAUGAUACACACAGGAUAUGAUGACAUUCAGCAGUUCUGCUCUGACACUGAAGCCACCGGCAAUGCAUGUUUGCAUGAUGGCCAUAAGGACACGACAGAAUCUCCCAGUGCAUCCUUGUGAACCGGGUCAAAGUUUUUUCCCCCAAAUGGCUCUGUAAGCUAUGGAUGGCAAAAGACAAUCCAGAUUGGGACUUGAGGUGAUGUGGCGUCACCUAUUGCAAUUCCUCCAUGAGCACCCCGGGCUGCGAGCGCAGGCUGUGUUCAGUGAACCUCCUGGGGCAGGAAGGGCUAACAACCCUUGCAUUGAUCCAAGGAGACACUCAGCCCUCUAACCUGCUGAGUGCUCAGUUCAGGAGAACAAUGGAGUUCAGCACACAUCAAUACAGCAGCAGCCUAUUGAGCGCACUCCGUUUAGUAAAGCCGACUGAUGAGGUUGAAGCUCCCGAGAACCUUCAGUGUCUGUAAAAAAAAAACCCUUUCUUUCCAUCGCUCUGAAAGGACAAAAAGACUUGAGCCAACUUGUGUUCCCAGCUCCAGCUUUCCAGCAUCUUAACCUGUUACUAUGAAUCACGUUGGGCCAAAAUGACCGGUAAGCCUCACCUACAGUACCACUCAAAGAGUUGGAGAUUGGGAUGGAAGAGGCUUUCUGGGCAGGAAUGCACUGCUUGUCCCAUAAGACACUAAAUGAUGUACAAGUGCAUUUAUUACAGCAGCCCCUAUAAAUCUGAGCCUGGCCUGAACUCCGGGGAGAGGUUAAUGGAUUACAAAGGGAUGCGGUAUCGAACCUUUGAGAAGUUUAUACACCACAUCAAUAUGUGCAAGGCUAUUGAUCAUUUAGACCUUGACAGACAAAUUAAAUUCAUAAACUUGAUAAUGCACUGGAAUAUUUGUAUUGCUUACUACAGUGGAACGGGGCC
This is a long non-coding RNA of Cyprinus carpio carpio, 1084 nucleotides long. The record is from Ensembl. NCBI's taxonomy places the organism in Eukaryota, Metazoa, Chordata, Actinopteri, Cypriniformes, Cyprinidae.